RNAcentral lists this ribosomal RNA (494 nucleotides) under uncultured bacterium. RNAcentral describes it as "partial 16S ribosomal RNA". It matches the Rfam family "Bacterial small subunit ribosomal RNA", at positions 28 to 507 of the family's 1533-position model. The record is from RNAcentral.
GACGAACGCUGGCGGCGUGCUUAACACAUGCAAGUCGAACGGUGAAGCGCCUUCCUUUUUGGUGGGUGUGGAUGAGUGGCGAACGGGUGAGUAACACGUGAGUAACCUGCCCCCUUCUUCUGGAUAACCGCAUGAAAGUGUGGCUAAUACGGGAUAUUCUGGGUCUGUCGCAUGAUGGGUCUGGGAAAGAUAUUGUUUCGGUGGGGGAUGGGCUCGCGGCCUAUCAGCUUGUUGGUGGGGUGAUGGCCUACCAAGGCGGUGACGGGUAGCCGGCCUGAGAGGGUGGACGGUCACACGGGGACUGAGACACGGCCCAGACUCCUACGGGAGGCAGCAGUGGGGAAUAUUGCACAAUGGGCGCAGGCCUGAUGCAGCGACGCCGCGUGAGGGAUGGAGGCCUUCGGGUUGUGAACCUCUUUCGCCAGUGAAGCAGGCCUGCCUCGUUUGUGGGUGGGUUGACGGUAGCUGGAUAAGAAGCGCCGGCUAACUACGUG